GCUGUAGCUCAAUGGCAGGGCAUGUGUUCUGCAUACUGAAGGCCCCAGGUUCAAUUCCUGGUGUCUGCA
This is a non-coding RNA of Podarcis lilfordi (Lilford's wall lizard), 69 nucleotides long. Lineage: Eukaryota; Metazoa; Chordata; Lepidosauria; Squamata; Lacertidae. The record is from the annotation of a GenBank genome assembly.